CUCCUACGGGAGGCUGCAGUGGGGAAUUUUACACAAUGGGCGAAAGCCUGAUGUAGCAACGCCGCGUGGAGGAUGACGGAUUUAGGUCUGUAAACUCCUUUUAUAAGGGAAGAAAUUUGACGGUACCUUAUGAAUAAGCACCGGCUAACUCCGUGCCAGCAGCCGCGGUAAUACGGGGGGUGCAAGCGUUACUCGGAAUCACUGGGCGUAAAGGGAGCGUAGGCGUUCUAUUAAGUCUUGAGUGAAAGCCUGCAGCCUAACUGCAGAACUGCUUGGGAAACUGAUAGAAUUGAGUAUGGAAGAGGUCAGUGGAAUUUCCGGUGUAGGGGUAAAAUCCGUAGAUAUCGGAAGGAAUACCAGAAGCGAAGGCGACUGACUGGGACAUUACUGACGCUGAGGCUCGAAAGCGUGGGGAGCAAACAGGAUUAGAUACCCUGGUAGUCCACGCCCUAAACGAUGAACACUAGUCGUUACGGAGCUAGUCUCUGUAGUGACGCAGCUAACGCAUUAAGUGUUCCGCCUGGGGAGUACGGUCGCAAGAUUAAAACUCAAAGGAAUAGACGGGGACCCGCACAAGCGGUGGAGCAUGUGGUUUAAUUCGAAGAUACGCGAAGAACCUUACCAAGGC
Molecule: ribosomal RNA, 628 nt
Filed under: uncultured bacterium
Lineage: Bacteria
Description: bacterial SSU rRNA
Rfam family: Bacterial small subunit ribosomal RNA
Source: RNAcentral